CCUACGUGAGGCAGCAGUGGGGAAUAUUGGGCAAUGGGCGCAAGCCUGACCCAGCAACGCCGCGUGAAGGAAGAAGGCUUUCGGGUUGUAAACUUCUUUUCUCAGGGACGAAGAAAGUGACGGUACCUGCUGAAUAAGCCACGGCUAACUACGUGCCAGCAGCCGCGGUACUACGUAGGUGGCAAGCGUUAUGCGGAUUUAUUGGGUGGAAAGGGCGUGUAGGCGGGAGCGCAAGUCAGAUGUGAAAACUCAGGGCUCAACCCUGAGCCUGUAUUUGACACUGUGUUUCUUGAUUGCUGGAGAGGCAAUCGGAAUUCCGUGUGUAGCGGGGAAAUGCGUAGAUAUACGGAGGAACACCAGCGGCGAAGGCGGAUUGCUGGACAGUAACUGACGCUGAGGCGCGAAAGCGUGGGGAGCAAACAGGAUUAGAUACCCCGGUAGUC
This 443-nucleotide ribosomal RNA is filed under the name uncultured bacterium. Its description in RNAcentral is "partial 16S ribosomal RNA". It matches the Rfam family "Bacterial small subunit ribosomal RNA", at positions 338 to 795 of the family's 1533-position model. The record is from RNAcentral.